This 343-nucleotide unclassified non-coding RNA is filed under the name soil metagenome. RNAcentral's name for it is "partial contains 5.8S ribosomal RNA, internal transcribed spacer 2, and large subunit ribosomal RNA". The stretch from base 1 to 120 matches the Rfam family "5.8S ribosomal RNA", at positions 35 to 154 of the family's 154-position model. The record is from RNAcentral.
GAUGAAGAACGCAGCGAAAUGCGAUAAGUAAUGUGAAUUGCAGAAUUCCGUGAAUCAUCGAAUCUUUGAACGCACAUUGCGCCCGCCAGCAUUCUGGCGGGCAUGCCUGUUCGAGCGUCAUUUCAACCCUCGAGCCCCCCCGGGGGCCUCGGUGUUGGGGGACGGCACACCAGCCGCCCCCGAAAUGCAGUGGCGACCCCGCCGCAGCCUCCCCUGCGUAGUAGCACACACCUCGCACCGGAGCGCGGAGGCGGUCACGCCGUAAAACGCCCAACUUUCUUAGAGUUGACCUCGGAUCAGGUAGGAAUACCCGCUGAACUUAAGCAUAUCAAUAAGCGGAGGA